UUGCACGCUGGCGGCAUGCCUUACACCUGCAAGUCGAACGGCAGCACGGGUGCUUGCCCCUGGUGGCGAGUGGCGAACGGGUGAGUAAUACAUCGGAACAUGUCCUGUAGUGGGGGAUAGCCCGGCGAAAGCCGGAUUAAUACCGCAUACGAUCCACGGAUGAAAGCGGGGGACCUUCGGGCCUCGCGCUAUAGGGUUGGCCGAUGGCUGAUUAGCUAGUUGGUGGGGUAAAGGCCUACCAAGGCGACGAUCAGUAGCUGGUCUGAGAGGACGACCAGCCACACUGGGACUGAGACACGGCCCAGACUCCUACGGGAGGCAGCAGUGGGGAAUUUUGGACAAUGGGCGAAAGCCUGAUCCAGCAAUGCCGCGUGUGUGAAGAAGGCCUUCGGGUUGUAAAGCACUUUUGUCCGGAAAGAAAUCCUUGACUCUAAUACAGUCGGGGGAUGACGGUACCGGAAGAAUAAGCACCGGCUAACUACGUG
RNAcentral lists this ribosomal RNA (485 nucleotides) under uncultured bacterium. RNAcentral describes it as "partial 16S ribosomal RNA". It matches the Rfam family "Bacterial small subunit ribosomal RNA", at positions 30 to 507 of the family's 1533-position model. The record is from RNAcentral.